AUUAUUUAUAUAGGUGGUUACCAUGCCAUCAACUUGCGGUGAAAAUAUUAAAUAUUCUCUAAUUUGAGUGCGAUAAAAAUGCUUCACGUAUCUGGAUUAAAAAAAUUGACGAACCGAUCUUCGAAUGAUGUUGGAAAUGCUAAUCAACCAAGAGGCAGCAUUAUCUAAACAGGAUAAGAUGACCAAACUUUUCCAGAACAUUCUGAGCGAGAAGCACUUUGUAUACGGUACCAUUCAUUUGUCGGGGGAUUCGGCGCCAGUAGUCUCGAGGUCACGUUUGGUACUCUGCGUUAUUGGUGCACCGAGAUAAUGGAGUUCAUCGAUGGUUUGAUGGUUUACUUUAGAGAUCCCUUCAAAGAUCACAUUGAUAGUUGCCUUAGUGCUGGGCAUCAACGUUGAAAUUAUGCUGCUGUGGGUUUCCAAGUUCCAACGCAGAUUGGCUAUCAGAUUUUACCUUUAAACACAUUACAAGAGGCCGAAUUCAAAUAACGAUGGCAAAAUAUGUUUGAAUAAUAAUUUCGACGUUUUCCCGUCCUAUCAACUUCGUCGAGAGCAGUGAUAAUGAAUAAAUAUUUAAAACCAGGGAAUUGAACAAGCUUAACAAGGCUACAUAUUCCAGCAAUGACGAAAGAAGGGAAAAUGUUGAAUGAUUACGAUAAUCGGAAAACCUAGGAAGCCAAAUAAAAGAUUUAUAUGUAUUUGUUGUAAAAUAUAUUUUAGUUUGCGUACAUUUCAAUUUCUAAAACAAAAAUCGUAAAAAGCGCUCAAUGUUAAUAUGCUUAUUGCUUUCGUUAUAAAUCAAAGUGCGAUAGGUACAACCUAACCUACCCACAAUUCGUUUUCAAUAUCGAUAGCACUCGAUGAGGUUGUGAACUAAAUCCAUCUAAUCAGCGCUCAGAACCGAGCAUUAAAAGUGUAGAUCAUCGUUUGGCCAGAGCUUGGAGAGUUUAACGAACGUCUAGUAGCAUUGAACAGCUUACCAUAAAAACUUUCUUGUUUUCUGUAAGAGGAAAAAUUUGGGUAUCUAAAGGCUUUUUUGAGUUCAAAAGAAAACAGUAACUAGAGUGUACAAGUUGUGCUAGUAAUUUUAACAGAACUUACUGAUACUCCAAUUUACAUCGCACUGGUCAGUAGUAGUACUUUUACAUUUCACUGAAACAAUGAUUUAUGCAAUACUGCAUGAGUAUGUCAUUAGAUUUACCAAGUGUUUUAGAGCGGUUAUCUUGCAGUUCCUUAAAUUUCGACGAUAGUAUGUUAAUUUUGUUGAGAAAGCAUGCGGAGAAUUAGUAUGUAUGUACAACUGGAAAGACGAGCCAGGACGCUGAGGUUGACAGGCCUGUAUCUGUUUUCGAAUUGAAUGUGCAGGAACAAUUUUCUUUUCUCGUCUUCGAUCUAGCACUUUUUUCUAAGACUGCACGUAUCGAGUCGUAACUCUUGCCACUGAAACACGUAUAUAAUUCAAACACACAGCUGACUCUUUCAUUUGGCCAAUAGAUGUUAAAGAAUAAAUAAUGUUGUUUAAUAAAAGAGCUUUUGGGGUAUGCAUAUAUGUUACUUAAACUUUAUUGAUAAAAAGCGCUAGAAGGGAA
This is a long non-coding RNA of Topomyia yanbarensis, 1589 nucleotides long. RefSeq lists it as uncharacterized. The transcript has 3 exons. NCBI's taxonomy places the organism in Eukaryota, Metazoa, Arthropoda, Insecta, Diptera, Culicidae. The record is from RefSeq and is a predicted model, not a curated record.